Megalopta genalis is the source of this 5900-nucleotide non-coding RNA. The record is from RefSeq and is a predicted model, not a curated record. Lineage: Eukaryota; Metazoa; Arthropoda; Insecta; Hymenoptera; Halictidae.
AGAGAAAUUGAUUUCAGUUACCAAUUGGUGAGAGUUACACGGUUGCUAAAAAAAUUAACCUUUUAAAACUGGACCAAGCGACUUGAAUUAUUUUUAGAUGAUAGCGGGACUGGUUUACGAGACGAUGAUCAAAAUGCUUUUUUUAAAAUUUUGCUAAACUUUAAACUGUUACGAACAACCGAUAAAAAAUUUCCUCGACGCUAAACCUGCCGAUUAUUAAAAGCGACUAACGCGCGUUGAUCUAUGGAAACGACAAGAUUGAAUUUAUUUGAUAUACUUUUCGAUACUUUUCACUAUUUUUAUUCCAACGGUUGCUCGAAUCAACGUAUCGAUCGGAUCGUUUCAUUUCCUACGAAAGAGAGUCUGCAUCUUGAAGAAUUUUCAAAUAAAUCGUACGAAAGCGGCCAUUUUUUAACUGGCACGGUAGGUGCGGUGUUAAUAAUGGCGAUAACAAAAAUAUUAUCGACCUGUUCCACGAUCGUUAUCCGUAACAUAACCAAAACGAUCGAAAGCCGGUAUUCAAGUAUUUGGGAAAGUUUUGUUUACCUUUUCUGCUGAAUAUUCUUCGGUAAGCCCACGAUAAGUUUCGGUUGGCAAUCUCCGUUUGCAAAAAUUGUUGGCGCAAUCUCGUUGAUUUCGAUCCCCGGUUUCAGCGUUCCAAGCUAGUCUGCAAGACGGAAAGAAAAUUGGUCGCUUCUACGAAAUUUCUCGAUAUUCUUACCCGUUGGUCGGUAGUACGUACGUACGUGCAUAGGUGUAAAGUCGCAAAGACUCGUGGCGAAAGUAAAUUGUACAAUUUCCUUCGUUUUUCGGCGGUCUCGUCGAGAAAUCGGAACGGCGGCUAAUCUAGAAUUGAAUGAACGCAGGACAAGGUGCGUGGAACGGAAACGGAAACGGGAACGGGAACAAGAACGAAAACGGGUACGGGAACGAGAAGGGAACGCUGGCGAGACGAACCGAACCAACGCGGGCCAACUCCGAUUAGAGGUUACGGUGUCCGCGAGACGGCGACUCCGUCGUAGUUGCAGACGGGAUUGCAGUAAUCGCGCACGUGUAUCCGUCAAGUGCGAGUAACCGCGCCACGCGGUCCUCUUUCUCCCUCUCCCUUUCUCUCCCUCCCACUCUGUCCCUCUCGGUCUAUCUUUUUUCGUUUUCACACGUGCAUAUCACACGUUUCUACCUCGCGCGGCAUGAACGAACAGUCGGACCGUUCAGUAGUUUUUCAUCGACGGACCGGCGAGUAUCUCGCGGCUAGUAGUUAGGUAGAGGAAAAGCGAGAGGGCCAGAGGCACGGAGACACACGAUGCCGGACAAAGUCGCGCCAGCCGAGAAGCGGGUCUUGAGGCCCAUCGGGUCCGACUCCGGUUCCGAUACCGUCAAAUUGCAAAAGGAACUGGGAUUAUGGGACGGCGUGGCGAUCAUCGUCGGCAUCAUCGUCGGCGCCGGAAUUUUCGUCGCGCCGAAAGGUGUUUUGAUGAACAGCAACAGCGUGGGACAGGCGUUGAUCAUAUGGGUGUUUUCCGGAGUGCUGUCGCUGAUCGGAGCCCUGUGCUACGCCGAACUCGGUACGAUGAUUCCGAAAUCUGGGGGCGAUUACGCGUACAUCAGCGACGCGUUCGGCCCGUUUCCGGCGUUUCUCUAUCUCUGGGUAGCGUUCUUCGUUCUUGUUCCAACGGGGAACGCGAUCACCGCCCUCACGUUCGCCGAGUACAUUUUGCAACCAGUUUGGCCGGGUUGCGUGCCUCCCUACGAAGCGGUGCGUUUACUCGCCGCAGUCAUCACUUGUUUAUUGACAGUCAUCAACUGUUACAACGUGAAAUGGGCUACCAGAGUGCAGGACAUCUUCACCGCCACGAAAAUUUUCGCGCUCGUGAUCAUCAUCGUAGCCGGAUUCUGGUGGCUCUGCACGGGCCACACGGAGAAUUUCCACCGUCCCAUGGCCAACACCAACACGCAGCCCGGCUACAUCGCUUUGGCCAUUUAUUCGGGCCUGUUUUCCUAUUCGGGCUGGAACUACCUGAACUUCGUUACCGAGGAGCUGAAGGAACCGUACAAGAACCUACCGAAGGCUAUUUGCAUAUCCUUGCCAUUGGUUACGGUAAUUUAUGUUCUGGUGAACGUCGCUUACUUCGCCGUGUUGAAACAAGACGAGAUUCUUUCGUCGAACGCGGUGGCGGUGACGUUCGGGGACAAGCUGCUGGGCGUGAUGUCUUGGAUAAUGCCAUUUUUUGUGGCCUGCUCGACUUUCGGCGCCCUAAACGGAGCUAUAUUCGCGUCUUCGCGAUUAUUCUUCGUGGGGGCGAGAAACGGACACUUGCCUGCUGCCAUUGCUCUCAUCAACGUCCAGAACUUAACGCCGAUGCCGUCCCUCAUCUUCCUCUGCAUUAUCACCCUGGCACUUCUCAGCAUAGAGGAUGUAUACGUGCUAAUCAAUUAUGUCAGCUUCGUCGAGGCACUGUUCACUACGCUCUCCGUGUCUGGUCUCCUCUGGCUUCGCUACAAAAAUCCAGACCGUGAACGACCGAUCAAGGUCUCGAUCGUGUUGCCGAUCAUAUUUUUCGUUAUCUGCGCGUUUUUGGUGACGGUUCCCUGCUACGUGUCGCCCUGGGAAGUGGGUGUCGGGGUAAUAAUCAUCUUAUCCGGUAUACCUGUCUACUGGAUUUUUAUUCAUUGGAAAAAGAAGCCUAAAUGGAUCGUGAGGUCGUCUCAUAAUCUGAACAUGGUGUGCGUGAAGCUGUUUAUGUGCAUGCAGGAGCAGAAAAGCGAUUGAGAUUCACGAACGAGAGAACAUCGAAUCUCGUUCCCCGUGACGCGCGAGCGAUCCGUUUUCUCGUGGAAAUCGUGGUAAGUCGGGUAUGGAAACACGCGGCUGAACCAACUCGUUCGUUUUGUCCGCGGGUUAAAAACGUUGGAAAAGCUGCGCAACGGCGGCAACGAACGGGCCGUCGCGCCGCAUAGUUCCGAUCAAAUCCGACGGAUCGAUUCGUGGCAAGAAUCGUGAACCACGACGAAUUUCGAAUUCCUCGAGUCGCCCCGAUUGCGGCGACCGAUUCGCAGCCGCGUAUCUUCUCCGCGCAAUUUUACACGUACAUACCUCCGAACGAAUGCGGCGAUCUUGUAGUCUCGGCAAAAUGCGUCAAUUACUAAAUUCCUUUGUCGCGACGCGACGCGACAAACAGGAUCUUUCCUAGGAUCCCAACUCGCGAGAGUACGUACCGCGUAACGCGAUUGCGACACGUUCGGAUACGCGUUCGAUCCUGGGAGAAGACGUCGCGUCGUCGUAAUAUCGUAAAUCGAGGCCCCGACCGUCGAAGGACCGAUCGGAGUCUAAGAGCGAGCAACGAUCGUUCCGUGCACGAUAUAUCGGUUCGUUGUCUUUUCUAUGCAAGAUGCCGAUUACCGAUCUCGAAACGAUAUCGUGCGACGAUCGCGGGAUAAAAAGCUUUCUACGCACAGUCCCACCUACCGAAAAUAUUCGUCGAAACGCGUCGAAACGUGUCGAAAAGAAGAAGUUGUCUGUCCGACACGCUGGCUAAACCGUGCGUUCGAACGCGGAACGUCGUAUUUUAAUAAACGAAGCAGCGCAUACAUAUAUUUAUAUUAUUUAAUUGUACAUACAACGCGAGCAACUAUAAAUUAUUCGUCGUUGUUCGCGUACCGGUGAACCGCUCUUCCGUUCGAUAUAAGUUCUCGUCGAUGUACGCGUAAGUAGCAAUAUAUGUAUAUUUUACGCGUCCGAUUUAUUUGCGAUGCUCUCCCAACUGGUCGCGCGUACCGCUAAAUUAUAAGGUACCGAAAAGAGGAACGGUCUAACGGAAUUACCCUAAGAUCGUUGCGUAAGAUAUGUUUUUAACGUGUUUUUAGAGCGGCGUAAUAGGAUUUACAAAUAGGCGAAGAAAAUGCUCUGUCGAUUCGAAGAUACAGGGGAGAGUCAAUCGAGAACUCGGAAUUGUAAUAUAGCAAAAUAUUCUGCUCUUCCUUAGAGAAAUAUUUUUUCCGAUAACACGACGAAAAACCGAAAACCGAUCGAUCGAUCGAUCGAUGUAAAAACAACAAAAUUCUGAAUUCUGUGAAAGUGUUCGCGGACGAUCGCAUCGAAGCGAUACGAAAUUCGAAUACCGAUUUUCUAUUUCGUAAUAACUAGAUAUGCUUUCGUUCGGAAACUAAAUGUAACGACACAGUAAUGUUACAAAAUUUUCAGCGAUUCGCUAAAAUAACAAUUAUAUGCUGCAACGAGUAUGCGCGCACAGUGAUCGACAAAAGAAAGUUCAAAGCCUGAUACAUACGAAAGAUACCACAAUUUCUGUAAACUGAAAUUUUAUCUGAAAGCAGCAUAUUUAUAAACAUCUUAUGAAAUAACGAUAACAAAAAAUUACAAAGACUGAAUAGAAAAUUAAUAGCUUUUUGAAAACAAUGAUACGAAUGAAAAAACUAAGCGUAGACAAAAAUAAGUUUAAUUCUACAUUUUGCGAUUACGAUUUUUAUUCUGCGAUAUUUUAUAUACCUAUUUUGUAAGACUUUGUUGCUGUUUAUUAUAGCUUGUAGCCUUUUUUACAUACUUUUCAAGUACUCUGUAUAGAUAUUUCGUUGUACACGUAUACGUAUACGUAUACGUAUAUGUACACACAUUUUGUUUUACCAAAAUCGUUCCGAGGUUUCCAAAAUGGAACCGAGAUCCGGAGAUUACGAUGGCCGCUCGAAUUUUAAAAUAUUUCUCCGUAAUAGGAUUGGGCGCUGCACCACCUUUCUACGCGUUGUAAAAAAUGAUUUUUACACGCAUCGACGCAGUCGAUACCCCUGUCGUAAUAGUCGAUGGAAUGGAUUUUACUUUUCGAGAUGGUUCUACACCUUAAAUUUUAUCCUUUUUCAUUUAUUUUUGUUGCUUGAUUGAAAUUUUGUAUCGUCCGAUUCCGAAAAAGUUACGAAUACUCGUAAACGGAAACACCGACGUUAAACUUUCUUUUGCCCAUCGCUGUAUUUAAAAUAACUGAUUAUUAUAUACCGCGAUUACUUUAAAGAACACGAUCGAAUAAACGAAGAACUUUAUACGAUAUUUAUACGAUAAACUUAUAAACGAUAUUAUAGCAUUUCUAUCGCAACAUAGAAUUUAGUAAUUUUUACACCUUCGCACAUAUUAUUGUACCGUUCGAAAUCAAAUUCGGAAUGCGGUCGACGCGAUUAGCAAUUUGUACUAUGUAUAAUAUUACGAUACGAUACCGGUGCUCGGAACAGGUGACAGCGAACUUGUUCACGAGAAACUAACGCUCGUUCGUUUCACGAUGCGCGCGACACAUCGAAUGCCUUGUUAGAAUGCCCUUCUCGCUAACAUGUGAUUACAAUACGCGAGCUGUUUCCGAGAUUUCGGCAAACUCUAGCGUAAACGCGAUACUGCAAACAGCUCGCGGUCAACUCGCAAACACCUAACCGGUGUAACACGCGGCAUUCGUAUGCGACAAAAUCAAUUUUUAGACUCGCUCAAGGGCAGUUGGAUACGUGUUUUCGGUUCGGUUAUAACAAGACGCAUCGUCACCCUUCCGCGUAAACGAUAGAAGUUUGUUCGAACUUUUGUUAGAAUUUUCGCAACGAUUUGUAAUUUUAAACUCCUCGUUUUUACCAUCGUACGCGCAGCAUCGAUUUUUUAAUAAGCUCUACGACAGUAUUCGCGAAACAAGUAAUCGGUGAAAAAGCGCCUAAUACGUAUAAGCAACGAAUAUCGUAACGACAGAUACAGCAAAUAAUGUAGCAACGAAUGUAGCUACGAAUCGUAUUUUAUUAUACCACUUUGUUAUACGUAUCGUUAAGUAAGUACAAGCGAACGGAAACUAGAAACUGUAAAUGAAAUAUUAAGAGGAUGCCUUUUCAUCCUUUCGAUAAUAAAUACAAAGUACCAAAUGAAUAUA